This 459-nucleotide ribosomal RNA is filed under the name uncultured bacterium. Its description in RNAcentral is "partial 16S ribosomal RNA". It matches the Rfam family "Bacterial small subunit ribosomal RNA", at positions 338 to 795 of the family's 1533-position model. The record is from RNAcentral.
CCUACGGGGGGCAGCAGUGAGGAAUAUUGGUCAAUGGGCGGGAGCCUGAACCAGCCAAGUCGCGUGAGGGACGACGGUCCUAUGGAUUGUAAACCUCUUUUGUCGGGGAAUAAAGCCGCCCACGGGUGGGCGGAUGAGUGUACCCGAAGAACAAGCAUCGGCUAACUCCGUGCCAGCAGCCGUGGUAAUACGGAGGAUGCGAGCGUUAUCCGGAUUUAUUGGGUUUAAAGGGUGCGUAGGCGGACAGUAAAGUCAGCGGUAACAAUGCGGUGCUCAACGCCGUACAGCCGUUGAAACUGGCAGUCUUGAGUGGGCGAGAAGUAUGCGGAAUGCGUGGUGUAGCGGUGAAAUGCAUAGAUAUCACGAAGAACUCCGAUUGCGAAGGCAGCUUACUAAACUGCCACUGACAUUGAUGCUCGAAAGUGUGGGUAUCAAACAGGAUUAGAUACCCUGGUAGUC